This 126-nucleotide ribosomal RNA is filed under the name uncultured Bacteroidota bacterium. RNAcentral describes it as "uncultured Bacteroidetes bacterium partial 16S ribosomal RNA". It matches the Rfam family "Bacterial small subunit ribosomal RNA", at positions 377 to 498 of the family's 1533-position model. The record is from RNAcentral. Lineage: Bacteria; Pseudomonadati; Bacteroidota.
GAAACUCUGAUGCAGCCAUGCCGCGUGCAGGAUGAAUGCCCUAUGGGUUGUAAACUAGCUUUUAUACAAGAAGAAACAUGNGGUACGUGUACCGACUUGACGGUAUUGUAUGAAUAAGCACCGGCU